This 253-nucleotide ribosomal RNA is filed under the name uncultured bacterium. Its description in RNAcentral is "partial 16S ribosomal RNA". It matches the Rfam family "Bacterial small subunit ribosomal RNA", at positions 524 to 776 of the family's 1533-position model. The record is from RNAcentral.
UACGAAGGGGGCUAGCGUUGCUCGGAAUCACUGGGCGUAAAGCGCACGUAGGCGGAUCGCUAAGUCAGGGGUGAAAUCCUGGAGCUCAACUCCAGAACUGCCUUUGAUACUGGCAAUCUCGAGUCCGGGAGAGGUGAGUGGAACUGCGAGUGUAGAGGUGAAAUUCGUAGAUAUUCGCAAGAACACCAGUGGCGAAGGCGGCUCACUGGCCCGAUACUGACGCUGAGGUGCGAAAGCGUGGGGAGCAAACAGG